GGGUAUAUAGCUUAGUGGUAGAGCACAUGCUUAGCAUGUGUGUGAGGUCCUGGGUUCGAUUCCCCAGUACCUCCA
This 75-nucleotide transfer RNA is filed under the name Camelus bactrianus (Bactrian camel). It matches the Rfam family "tRNA". Rfam says of the family: Transfer RNA (tRNA) molecules are approximately 80 nucleotides in length. Their secondary structure includes four short double-helical elements and three loops (D, anti-codon, and T loops). RNAcentral also lists the same sequence under 2 other names. Lineage: Eukaryota; Metazoa; Chordata; Mammalia; Artiodactyla; Camelidae. The record is from Rfam by way of RNAcentral.